This 446-nucleotide ribosomal RNA is filed under the name uncultured bacterium. Its description in RNAcentral is "partial 16S ribosomal RNA". It matches the Rfam family "Bacterial small subunit ribosomal RNA", at positions 338 to 795 of the family's 1533-position model. The record is from RNAcentral.
CCUACGGGGGGCUGCAGUCGAGAAUCAUUCACAAUGGGGGAAACCCUGAUGGUGCGACGCCGCGUGGGGGAAUGAAGGUCUUCGGAUUGUAAACCCCUGUCAUGUGGGAGCAAAUUAAAAAGAUAGUACCACAAGAGGAAGCGACGGCUAACUCUGCGCCAGCAGCCGCGGUAAUACAGAGGUCUCAAGCGUGGUUCGGAAUCACUGGGCGUAAAGCGUGCGUAGGCUGUUUCGUAAGUCGUGUGUGAAAGGCGCGGGCUCAACCCGCGGACGGCACAUGAUACUGCGAGACUAGAGUAAGGGAGGGGGAAGCGGAAUUCUCGGUGUAGCAGUGAAAUGCGUAGAUAUCGAGAGGAACACUCGUGGCGAAGGCGGGUUCCUGGACAUUAACUGACGCUGAGGCACGAAGGCCAGGGGAGCGAAAGGGAUUAGAUACCCCAGUAGUC